GGCAAACAGGUAUCUGGGAUAACAUUUUUAGCUUUCAGCACAAGGGGGGCCAAGACAGCACUGUGAGCACUCAUCCUCACCUUAGAGCCCAGGACUGCGGCUGGCUCCCUGCUUCCCUCCAGCAGUCUGCCCUUAUACCUUAAGAAUUCCAGGGUUUCGUGUUCUGAACACCUGCAAGCAGAAGCAUCUCUUCCUGUGGGGGCCCUCCCUACACUGCUAUCUCCCCCCAUGGCACCUAGUACCUCCACCUCACUGCAACACCUCAGUCUUCAAUUGGAAUCAUCCUAAACUAGGCGGGCUGGACGAGCUGGAGGUAAUGGUGAACAGCUCCUGUGGCUCUCAACGAUGAAUGGCAACGGAGGAAGAGCUCCCUGGAAGAAAGCCAUUGGGACCUGGAGGAGAGAGACGUCGGUCUGGAUCACUAUACACUUCACUCUUCAUUGCAGCGAUCUAUAUCAUCGCCGGCCCUAUCCACUUCCUAUUUGAGCCUUUGGAAUAGCUGGAAGAAUUCCACAGAGGGAUGAGAAAGCUAUCAAAAAGACUGGUUCUCCUAAGCGGGGGUUAAAACCCUUAACUGAGCUCCAGAGCAAGUCAGGACAUGGAAAACAUUGCAGACACCGAAGCUGUUGCUCUUACUUCAGGGGCCCUCCCCAAAGAUCUCGAUGGUCAAAACCAAAUGGAUAGCCACCAGCAUCACUCCCUAUCCACCUUGGCGUCUCUCCUUGAGAAAGCGCAAACUUUCAACUUCAAUGGAAUCUGAAUACAUUUCACAUUUUCAUUGGGGGGGGGGGCAGAUCUGUGGGGCUGAACCCAAAUAUAUUCCAACAGUUGGUUUUCAACAA
Monodelphis domestica (gray short-tailed opossum) is the source of this 842-nucleotide non-coding RNA. NCBI's taxonomy places the organism in Eukaryota, Metazoa, Chordata, Mammalia, Didelphimorphia, Didelphidae. The record is from RefSeq and is a predicted model, not a curated record.